This 104-nucleotide non-coding RNA is filed under the name Ctenophora environmental sample. The record is from RNAcentral. Lineage: Eukaryota; Metazoa; Ctenophora.
UUUUUUUUUUUUUUUCUUUUUUCAAUUUUUGUUUUUGUCUGAGUUGAAAUAUUCGAAUCAUUGUGUGUGUGAACUUUCUAGAUGCAGUGGUCCAGGCCUGAGUG